GAUCCUGGCUCAGAAUGAACGCUGGCGGCAUGGAUUAGGCAUGCAAGUCGAACGUGCUCCCUUCGGGGAGAAAGUGGCGAAAGGGUGAGUAACACGUGAGCAACCUGCCUCCGGAUCCGGAAUAAUCCAGGGAAACUUGGUCUAAAACCGGAUGAAGACAUUGGGCCGCAUGGUCUGGUGUUAAAAUAUUUAUAGUCCGGAGAGGGGCUCGCGGCCCAUUAGCUUGUUGGCGGGGUAAUGGCCCACCAAGGCUACGACGGGUAGGUGGUCUGAGAGGAUGGUCACCCACACUGGGACUGAGACACUGCCCAGACUCCUACGGGAGGCUGCAGUCGAGAAUCUUCCGCAAUGGGCGCAAGCCUGACGGAGCGAUGCCGCGUGAGGGAUGAAGGCCUUCGGGUUGUAAACCUCUGUCAUCCGGGACGAAAACAAUGACGGUACCGGAAAAGGAAGCCACGGCUAACCACGUGCCAGCAGCGGC
Molecule: ribosomal RNA, 481 nt
Filed under: uncultured bacterium
Lineage: Bacteria
Description: bacterial SSU rRNA
Rfam family: Bacterial small subunit ribosomal RNA
Source: RNAcentral